GACGAACGCUGGCGGCGUGCUUAACACAUGCAAGUCGAGCGGUAAGGCCCUUUCGGGGGUACGACGAGCGGCGAACGGGUGAGUAACACGUGGGUGACCUGCCUUUAGUCUCUGGGAGUAAGCCUGGGAAACCGGGGUACUAAUACCGGAUAUGACUCCGCGGCGCAUGUUGUGGGGUGGAAAGCCUUGUGCGGCUGGAGAUGGGCCCGCGGCCUAUCAGCUUGUUGGUGGGGUGAUGGCCUACCAAGGCGACGACGGGUAGCCGGCCUGAGAGGGCGACCGGCCACACUGGGACGUGAGACACGGCCCACGACUCCUACGGGAGGCAGCAGUGGGGAAGUCUUGCGCAAUGGGCGAAAGCCUGACGCAGCGACGCCGCGUGAGGGAUGACGGCCU
This 396-nucleotide ribosomal RNA is filed under the name uncultured bacterium. RNAcentral's name for it is "bacterial SSU rRNA". It matches the Rfam family "Bacterial small subunit ribosomal RNA", at positions 28 to 417 of the family's 1533-position model. The record is from RNAcentral.